This 492-nucleotide ribosomal RNA is filed under the name uncultured bacterium. Its description in RNAcentral is "partial 16S ribosomal RNA". It matches the Rfam family "Bacterial small subunit ribosomal RNA", at positions 29 to 507 of the family's 1533-position model. The record is from RNAcentral.
AGUGAACGCUGGCGGUAGGCCUAACACAUGCAAGUCGAACGGCAGCACAGUAAGAGCUAGCUCUUACGGGUGGCGAGUGGCGGAUGAGUGAGGAAUACAUCGGAAUCUACUUUUUCGUGGGGGCUAACGUAGGGAAACUUACGCUAAUACCGCAUACGACCUACGGGUGAAAGCAGGGGAUCUUCGGAUCUCGCGCGAUUGAAUGAGCCGAUGUCGGAUUAGCUAGUUGGCGGGGUAAAGGCCCACCAAGGCGACGAUCCGUAGCUGGUCUGAGAGGAUGAUAAGCCACACUGGAACUGAGACACGGUCCAGACUCCUACGGGAGGCAGCAGUGGGGAAUAUUGGACAAUGGGCGCAAGCCUGAUCCAGCCAUACCGCGUGGGUGAAGAAGGCCUUCGGGUUGUAAAGCCCUUUUAUUGGGAAAGAAAGGCAGCAGGUUAAUACCCCGCUGUUCUGACGGUACCCAAAGAAUAAGCACCGGCUAACUUCGUG